Molecule: ribosomal RNA, 180 nt
Filed under: BTEX-degrading bacterium enrichment culture
Lineage: Bacteria
Description: partial 16S ribosomal RNA
Rfam family: Bacterial small subunit ribosomal RNA
Source: RNAcentral
GGCAGCAGUGGGGAGUAUUGGACAAUGGGCGAAAGCCUGAUCCAGCCAUGCCGCGUGUGUGAAGAAGGUCUUCGGAUUGUAAAGCACUUUAAGUUGGGAGGAAGGGCAGUAAGCUAAUACCUUGCUGUUUUGACGUUACCGACAGAAUAAGCACCGGCUAACUCUGUGCCAGCAGCCGCG